Chinchilla lanigera (long-tailed chinchilla) is the source of this 107-nucleotide unclassified non-coding RNA. The record is from Ensembl. Lineage: Eukaryota; Metazoa; Chordata; Mammalia; Rodentia; Chinchillidae.
GGUGUUCCUAGGUCGGAAGCAUAAAUCCCAUGGGAAGUCAGCUAAAGAACAUUUUAUGCAUCACUCAUCCUAUUAUGAGCCCUGUGCUCUUCCAUCUCUCUACAAGG